RNAcentral lists this ribosomal RNA (490 nucleotides) under uncultured bacterium. RNAcentral's name for it is "bacterial SSU rRNA". It matches the Rfam family "Bacterial small subunit ribosomal RNA", at positions 30 to 518 of the family's 1533-position model. The record is from RNAcentral.
AUUGAACGCUGGCGGCAUGCUUUACACAUGCAAGUCGAACGGUAACAGCACUUCGGUGGCUGACGAGUGGCGAACGGGUGAGUAAUGUAUCGGAACGUGCCCAGUAGUGGGGGAUAACUACUCGAAAGAGUGGCUAAUACCGCAUGAGAUCUCUGGAUGAAAGCGGGGGACCGUAAGGCCUCGCGCUACUGGAGCGGCCGAUAUCAGAUUAGGUUGUUGGUGGGGUAAAGGCCUACCAAGCCUGCGAUCUGUAGCUGGUCUGAGAGGACGACCAGCCACACUGGGACUGAGACACGGCCCAGACUCCUACGGGAGGCAGCAGUGGGGAAUUUUGGACAAUGGACGCAAGUCUGAUCCAGCAAUGCCGCGUGCAGGACGAAGGCCUUCGGUUGUAAACUGCUUUGUACGGACGAAAGCCUUCUUCUAAUACAGGAGGGUCAUGACGGUACCGUAAGAAUAAGACACCGGCUAACUACGUGCCAGCAGCCGC